This is a long non-coding RNA of Hevea brasiliensis (rubber tree), 1843 nucleotides long. RefSeq lists it as uncharacterized. Lineage: Eukaryota; Viridiplantae; Streptophyta; Magnoliopsida; Malpighiales; Euphorbiaceae. The transcript is spliced from 3 exons. The record is from RefSeq and is a predicted model, not a curated record.
UCUCUCUUUUCUUUUCCUUUUCUUUAUUUUCUUUCCUUUUCUUUUUUUUGCCAUAACUUUCUUCUCUGAUCGUUGUUUUUGACAUUCUUGGUAUCAAAACGCUCCUCUCUUUAUGGGCAUCGUGUAGAUACCAAUUUUGCGUGGUAUCAUUUUCCAGUUUGUGUAAAUUAAGCUUCAGAAGUUUUAGCCCAUUUUGACUUUUGGGCUAGAUUUUUCGUAAAUUGUGAACCCCACGAAAAAUUCGAGAGUAUCGGAGUGCUCCCCUCGCUACUUUCAAUUCGAAGAAAUUCAACAGUUGUUCGUGUCUGCAAUUUCGGGUCGGCAGACAGGUUACAUAAAAAUUUUCAGAAUUGGGUCGAAAUUAUAGGUUACCCUACCAUUUUCAGACAUUCCGGACGCGUCCCCAAAGUCGGAAUUGGCAUAGGUGAGCCGAGACGGCCUUCCUCCUCCAUCCAGCCGUCAUAGUGAACUCGGUUCAAGUAUGUGAGUAAAAUAUUAAUUUUAAUUAUAAUUUCAAUAUUAUUAUAUGUUCAGGCAUGCCCAUACAUCACUUAUAAAUAUGUAUCUAUGUAGUUAAACAUUAGGCGCGUUUUAUAUUGCAUUCUUAAUUGAUGAAGUGCCAUGGAUGUUGUUUAUAGUAAUUUGGAGCAGUGUGCGUGCGUUGACGUGCGUGUGGUGUGUGGUAUUGGAUACGGAUAGGACAGGUGGAUGUCGCUUGAGAGACACUUGCUGGGACUCGGUCCUUUAUGGAUAAGUCAGGGUAGGCAAGGCUUGAGAUGAUCUCGCUGGCCCCGCAUUUGGUUUAUCAAGUGAAAGUCUGGCUUAAGAGACACUCGCUGGCAGAGGUUGGAUUAAGAGAGCUGUAUAGGGGAUCAGCUCCCAUAUAUGUACUCUUUAAACAUUAUUGGGUGUGUGAGUACUCCAAAAUACCUAUUUACUAUUAUAAUAUGAUGUGUAUGAAAAUUUUGAUGGUGUUGUAUUCCACUCCUUAUGAUGCAUUAGCUCUAGGUAGCUAUAAAAAUUGUAGUUAAAAUUGGUAUUUUACGCUCUGAGUUGAACGCUCACUCCUGUUCACCUUAUUUUUCCAGACUACAGAAGCAUUAGUUGUUGUGAUUAACCUGCUCAUCUUCUUCGCAGGUCAAUUAGUACUAUCUAAUAUAUUUUGUACAAUUUAGCUAAAUUUUAGACUCUGCAUGCUUUAAGAGUAUUUUAAUCAAUUUGGAGACUGUAAUAUAAUAUUUUGUUGAAUUUGUAAGAACAUUAAAUACAUGCAUAACUGGAUUGGAUGAGGGAGCAGAGCUUCUAUUAAAUUUUAUGACAUGAUGAGUAUGUAGAGGGUGAGCUGAGCUUUCCAAAUUGUUAUAUAUUGUAUUUAUAGAUCAGACGAGUCAAAAACUCCUCGUUGUAUGGUCUACAUUUAUGGUCGGACUUUGUCCGGUUGAAUUCUUGAAUUGGGCCUAAAAUGAGCCUUAGAAUUAGGUUAAGGAAUAGUUAAGCUUACUAUGGGCCUCGGGGGCUUUAGACCUGCCCAGGUCCUAGUGUCGGUCCGGCUCAUAAGUUGGAUCGUGACGCCAUCUGUGUAGGAAAAUGUAAAGAAAUAACCAGGAAAAGUUGGUUUAAUAGUACUGUUAACAAUCCGAGCCACCAUUUUUGGUUAAUUACUACUUCAAGAUUUCAUGGAGAUGAGUUGCAAGUUUGUGGGCAAUAGUGGCAAAUGGUAACAAGACAAUACCAAAUUGUUAUUAGGGAUGAUAGUAUAUGGGUUUAAGGGGAUAUUAUAGUGAAGUUUACAAAUCGCUUACUUAGAGGGAUAAUUGGUAAGACUUUAACUUUUAACUUAAUG